Molecule: long non-coding RNA, 202 nt
Filed under: Mytilus galloprovincialis (Mediterranean mussel)
Lineage: Eukaryota; Metazoa; Mollusca; Bivalvia; Mytilida; Mytilidae
Source: RNAcentral
GAAAGGUGCUUUCUUUCACGUCCGCAUUUCUAUCAAGUAUGGCAUGCCAAAUUAACAUUUAUGGCAACGAUUAUCAUUGAUGGCGAAAAUGAUUCACAAAACUGUAUAUUUAAUGAGGGCCUGGACAGGGUAUUGGGAGCAUGGGAGAGAGGGGCCGGAGAAGGGAGAGAGGAGAGAAGGGGCAGGAGAAAGGAGAAAAGGG